GUGCCAGCCGCCGCGGUAAUACCGGCAGCCCAAGUGAUGGCCGAUCUUAUUGGGCCUAAAGCGUCCGUAGCUGGCCGCGCAAGUCCAUCGGGAAAUCCACCCGCUCAACGGGUGGACGUCCGGUGGAAACUGCACGGCUUGGGACCGGAAGGCGCGACGGGUACGUCCGGGGUAGGAGUGAAAUCCCGUAAUCCUGGACGGACCGCCGAUGGCGAAAGCACGUCGCGAGAACGGAUCCGACAGUGAGGGACGAAAGCUAGGGUCUCGAACCGGAUUAGAAACCCCAGUAGUC
Molecule: ribosomal RNA, 292 nt
Filed under: uncultured prokaryote
Description: partial 16S ribosomal RNA
Rfam family: Archaeal small subunit ribosomal RNA
Source: RNAcentral